CAUUAAAUCAGUUAUCGUUUAUUUGAUAGUACCUUACUACAUGGAUAACCGUGGUAAUUCUAGAGCUAAUACAUGCUAAAAACCCCGACUUCGGAAGGGGUGUAUUUAUUAGAUAAAAAACCAAUGCCCUUCGGGGCUCCUUGGUGAAUCAUAAUAACUUAACGAAUCGCAUGGCCUUGCGCCGGCGAUGGUUCAUUCAAAUUUCUGCCCUAUCAACUUUCGAUGGUAGGAUAGUGGCCUACCAUGGUAUCAACGGGUAACGGGGAAUUAGGGUUCGACUCCGGAGAGGGAGCCUGAGAAACGGCUACCACAUCCAAGGAAGGCAGCAGGCGCGCAAAUUACCCAAUCCCGACACGGGGAGGUAGUGACAAUAAAUACUGAUACAGGGCUCUUUUGGGUCUUGUAAUUGGAAUGAGUACAAUUUAAAUCCCUUAACGAGGAACAAUUGGAGGGCAAGUCUGGUGCCAGCAGCCGCGGUAAUUCCAGCUCCAAUAGCGUAUAUUAAAGUUGUUGCAGUUAAAAAGCUCGUAGUUGAACCUUGGGCCUGGCUGGCCGGUCCGCCUCACCGCGUGUACUGGUCCGGCCGGGCCUUUCCUUCUGGGGAACCUCAUGCCCUUCACUGGGCGUGCUGGGGAACCAGGACUUUUACUUUGAAAAAAUUAGAGUGUUCAAAGCAGGCCUUUGCUCGAAUACAUUAGCAUGGAAUAAUAGAAUAGGACGUGUGGUUCUAUUUUGUUGGUUUCUAGGACCGCCGUAAUGAUUAAUAGGGAUAGUCGGGGGCAUCAGUAUUCAAGCGUCAGAGGUGAAAUUCUUGGAUUGCUUGAAGACUAACUACUGCGAAAGCAUUUGCCAAGGAUGUUUUCAUUAAUCAGUGAACGAAAGUUAGGGGAUCGAAGACGAUCAGAUACCGUCGUAGUCUUAACCAUAAACUAUGCCGACUAGGGAUCGGACGGUGUUAGUAUUUUGACCCGUUCGGCA
Molecule: ribosomal RNA, 978 nt
Filed under: Cladosporium halotolerans
Lineage: Eukaryota; Fungi; Ascomycota; Dothideomycetes; Cladosporiales; Cladosporiaceae
Description: SSU rRNA
Rfam family: Eukaryotic small subunit ribosomal RNA
Source: RNAcentral